RNA transcript from Marmota monax (woodchuck), 4832 nucleotides. It is a transcript of the gene named protein kinase AMP-activated non-catalytic subunit beta 2, with no coding region annotated. NCBI's taxonomy places the organism in Eukaryota, Metazoa, Chordata, Mammalia, Rodentia, Sciuridae. The transcript is spliced from 9 exons. The record is from RefSeq and is a predicted model, not a curated record.
GAGUGCGCAGGGGCGGCCCCGCGCCGCGGGCCUCUUAGCCAUUUUAGGAGGAAACCCAAAUCGUCACCCCGGGUGCAGCUUCAAUUUCAAUAACUUUAUUGGUGGCCUUGUCCUCAGGGCGGCCAUCGCGCCCGUGGUCCCGGGGAGAGGGAGCGCGUCGCUGGAGGUGUAGUUCUUCGCGCCAGGUGGCCCCCGAUUCGAGCUGCAGCCAUGGGAAACACCACCAGCGACCGGGUGUCCGGGGAGCGCCACGGCGCCAAGGCUGCACGCGCGGAUGGCGGCGGCGGCCAUGCCCCGGGCAAGGAGCACAAGAUCAUGGUCGGGAGCACCGACGACCCCAGCGUUUUCAGCCUGCCGGACUCCAAGCUCCCUGGGGACAAAGAGUUUGUAUCAUGGCAGCAAGAUUUGGACGACUCUGUAAAGCCUACGCAGCAGGCCCGGCCUACUGUUAUCCGUUGGUCUGAAGGAGGCAAGGAGGUCUUCAUUUCUGGGUCCUUCAACAACUGGAGCACCAAGAUUCCACUGAUUAAGAGCCAUAAUGACUUCGUUGCCAUCUUGGACCUCCCCGAGGGAGAGCACCAAUACAAGUUUUUUGUAGAUGGACAGUGGGUUCAUGAUCCAUCAGAGCCUGUGGUUACCAGUCAGCUUGGUACGAUUAACAAUUUGAUCCAUGUCAAGAAAUCUGAUUUUGAGGUGUUUGAUGCUUUAAAACUAGAUUCUAUGGAAAGUUCUGAGACAUCUUGUCGAGACCUUUCCAGUUCACCCCCAGGGCCUUAUGGUCAAGAAAUGUAUGUAUUUCGAUCUGAAGAGAGAUUCAAAUCCCCACCCAUCCUUCCUCCUCACCUACUCCAAGUUAUUCUUAACAAGGACACUAAUAUUUCUUGUGACCCAGCCUUACUUCCUGAGCCCAACCAUGUUAUGCUGAACCAUCUCUAUGCAUUGUCUAUUAAGGACAGUGUGAUGGUUCUUAGUGCAACCCAUCGCUACAAGAAGAAGUAUGUCACUACGCUGCUGUACAAACCCAUCUGAAGCCAUCCUGUCUUGCCUUCAUGGAUUCAGGAGAAGCUUCUCCCUUGCCUUUGAACUGAACCAGUCUUACCUGAGACUGGAAGGCUGAUUUGCUUUCAGGCCAAUAUGUGUGUUUCAGAGCUUCUGAGUAGGAUGCUCUGCUUUCGCAUUUGAUUGCAGAUGAGAGCUUUAUGAGUUCAUGGAAUUUAUUUUAAGAAGAAAACAUAUACAUAUGAAGGGAAGGUUAUUGGAAGCCUCCUAGCCCCAGCUAUGGGUAUUCACCAGGACCCCUUUUGGGGAGCUAUAGAGAUAACUGUACAGGGAGUUUUUUUUCCCUAAAAUGAAAGAACAGCAAACUCUUGUUGGGUGAAGAUUCUACCACUGCUACCUUUGGUGUCCAAAAAAUGAACUUGGGCUAGACUGUUGCCCUACUUAUAGCUUCUGCCUCGCAGGGGCAGCUUCUCUUGCAUGGGGUCUCUGUAUUUUCACAGUGUGUGGCACAGUCUGUGUUUUUUGAUAUAACAAAUGCCUCACAAGAACGCUUUGUUCUCUUAUUUCACAUUCUUCCUUUAAUAGCCUCCUUCAGAUCCCAUACCUGACCCCUCACAAAAUUCUUUCAGUAAGUGACCCCUUUGGAAAGUUCUGUGGGACCUGACCCACGUUAUUGAUGAUGGUUGUCAGAAUAUCUCCUUUUUAGCCCACCAGAAGCCCAAGCCACUUUGUUACCACUUGUGUUUUAAACUUCUACUAAAGAAAAUAUGGGUUCAAUGUUAUAAGAAAGGCAUACGCAGAAGAUCUAUUUUUUUCUUUUAAUUUGCUACUACAGCUUUGACUGUAUGGCACAUAGGUUUUCCUGUUUGGCCUGGCCUUGCUUCCAGUUAUGCUUUCUCAGAGCAGACAGCUCUGCAGAUAGACAUGGACCAGGGAACACUUCUAGGACUUUUAUCCUUGAAAGAUUUUUAUGUGCCUGCAUUUUUCUUUAAUUAAAAAAAUUCCUUUUCAUUGGUCUUAAAAGACUGUAUUAGAGAACUUAAGGCUUUUAAUAAAUGGUCUUUAAGAUUUUCUUCUUUAGUUAGAGGAGACUAUACUCUUAUGUUAAUAUGGCCAGACCCAUGUUCGUCUUUAUCCCAAGUACUGCUCUUGAUACAAGUUCAUACGGACUCAUUGAUACACAUAUGGAUUCCCUCAGCUGUUAAGAUGUAAAGGCCAUGAGGCAAGAAAGUAUUCCUGGAAGGGUCUUUGUACUAAAUAGUAAGAAGAUCACUUUUUUCUUUCUGCCUCUUUUUUAAAAAUGUGUUUAGUAAUGAGGUAGGGUCACUGAUUUCCAUUUAUGAACUGAAAAGUAUUCAAUCCACCCUUGGGGUUCAGAGAUAAGACAUUUUUUCCAAGUAUCUUGGCUCUUCCAUUUUACAGAUAAAUGCAAGUCAAACAUUCAACCUUGAAGGAGGCCAUACUUGAUGGUUGAGAGACUCCUUGACUGCUAAGAUGAACCCAGCCACACUGAAAGGGCACCUACAGGAAUUUUGUUAAGUCAUAGUUGGCAGGAUAAGAAGAUAGUUCUUAAAAGGUGGCUGACCCUUAACAACAGCAGUAUGGUAUUGUGAUUGUGGGGCAAAGAAAGAAGACUAAGUUGAGGAGUAAAGGACGAAGUAACUGAAAAUAAUCCAUUUUUAUAAGAAAAUUUAAAUCAGACAUAACCUGGUGAUAUAUCCUUGGAUCUCAUUAUACAAAACUUAGCGUUAUGUGGAACAUUUUCCCUUUGUUUCUUGUUCCUAUUUGCUGCUUUAAUUUUAUUUGUCAGAUGGACUCUACCAAAGUCUUAAGUUAAAUGUUACCUAAAAUACAUAGGUUAGUCAUUUCACUGGUAUGGAGAACUUCCACACCAGAGUUAGUAGGUUGCUUUAAGUUCAGACUUGAAUGGGAUUUAACCACUAUAGGCAACACCCCUGCAGUGCUUUUUUAGCACAUGCUUGUGUAAUUAACGUGUAAAAGAGUCAUCCAAAAGAUGUUUCUGAGAGGAUCUGAGAAACCAGACUCACUCACUUUUUUUCCAGUUAUUUUUAGUCCUUGUAAAUCUAUAGAAUUUGAGAGAAAACCUUUGAAAAGUGCCAGUAUUCCAUGCAUGCUGCUAAAAUGAAGUGAAGUUUGGAAAGAAGUGAUAUCUCCAGACAGGAUUUAUAGUAAUCUGGGGUGUAAAUGAAGGAGAAACACUAAUGAUUGAAUUCCCUGCUUUUAUUGGGGAAAUAGGGCUUUUAAAAUUUUGACCUCAACUAAAAAUGAUAUGCAAUAGUCUAUGUUUGUGUGUGUUUGAAAUAUAUCCUAUUCUCAGAGAUUUCUACAUCCUCACAUUUUAGUGAUUUGGGGCAUGGGCUUAUGAACACUAUUUAACUUAUUCAAACAUUAUUUUGGUUCAUCCUUAAAGCCAAGUUCUUGCUGUCUUCUACCAGGGGCUGCUGACUCCAAUUACCCAUGGGAUGAAGGACCUGGUAGGGAUAAGGGUCUUUCAAAACUUUAUGGGUCUAGGCAUUUGUCUCUCCUUAAGUGGCAGUCACAACUGGAGAUUGAAAAACUGAUUUCUGCAGUGAACCUAAACUUUUGGAGUAAAAAGCCAAAUCUUUUUAAAAAUUUUAACAGAAAAGGAAGGAAGAAAAAAAAACCUCCAAGUUCGUUACUAGUAUAAUCCAAUUAUGAGCAAUGGAAUCCCUCCAGGAUUCUCAUUUGGGCCUUGUGUGAUUUGUUUUUCUUACUUGUGCUUUGAAGUAAAUAAGCUUCAGUAAAAAAUAAUUUUGUUAUUGCUUUCAACAUUAGAUGGUGUUGACUUGAAUCAUGUAUAGCACAGUACUUUUUGCAGUAAAAUUGGUGUGAAAUACUAAACAGUAUGGAUUUUAUAGGUAUCAAGUUAGAUGGUCAAGGGAUAUCUAUAUUGUUAGAUGUUGAUGAUCUUACUUAUUUUCUAUUCCACUUCACAGAGCACCUUACCCAGCUUGCGGUUUUAGGACAACCAAAGCUUAUUGUUAUUGAUUAGUCCUAAUCUCUGCACUGGGUCCCCUAUAUGAGAGUCUUGUUUGAAUUUUGGUGAAUUAGAGAAUUUUGACUGGUAUUACACUAAAGCAUCUGGAAGGAGUAUAGCUCUGUGUCUGUCAUAAAGGAGGGAUAAAGACUGUAAUUUGAAGGGAAUAAAAUAUGUGAGAUCCCCCAUUAAGUGGUGCUUUUAGUAACCUUUAAUGCUGAGAUACAGAGGCUGCUUUUCAAUAUUUCACAAAGGAGUGGAAUACAAACAAGUAUGGAUUUUAAACCUUUUCUCCAAAUGUAAUUGUCACUGGACCCUGAAUUGCCUGAAAAUUAUAUGUAACUCAUACAGAAAUAUGGGUUUUUCCCCAUAAAACUGUUUAAUAAAAGUAUUACACAGCAAUAAUAUUGAAGUUAUUUACUGAUUGCUGACUAUAUUGUCAAGAUCUGUCUGCCGUGAUAAUCUCAGAAUCUGAAGAAUGUAAAUUGCUAGGCAGGCACAUUUGGAUAAAGGGAAGAAUUCAUGGCUGCAGGGACAUUAGUGAUAUCCUUCCAUCUGCCACAUUUUCUCCUCUUUUUGUACUGGGCAAUGCCAUCAUUAAUUGUGGGAAUGCAGACUAAGUCACUGAUUUGAUUUUCAGCAUUUUCUCUGAACUGACUGCACAUUUAGCUAUUAUGCUGUGAAAUUAUCUGAGAUCUUAAACCAAUGAUUGUCAUUCCCAGGUGUACAUUCAUAUCACUGCUGAAGAUUCUGUAAACAUUAAUCCCCAGUCUACUACCUCCAUCCCAAUUAAAUGGAAAUCUCUGGUGUGUGA